UUUAAAUAUAAUUACUAGACGGAAAGCAGCACGCGCGGAAACCAUGCAGACGAAUGGGAUUAGGCUCCGCCUCUUUUGGAUCAUUUGAAGACAAAAUAAGCUACCGAGGCGGCUUUUUGAUUGGAUAUGAGCCUCAUGAAUAUGUAUUUUAUCGAUAGUAUCGUUUAAGAAACCGGAUAAUAUAUUUGACCUCAUUGCGUCACUUUAAUUAUGCAGAUUUAUGCACGACGCGACUACACUCGCACAAGCUGAGAAGAGUUAGUUCAUUGAGAAUGGAAUGAAACUGAUGAAGAUCUGGAAGGAGUUAACUGAUGAGUGGACAUUAAAACAUUUCUUAUAUUUGCAAGAUGAAGCAGAAAGUCCCAUGCAGGAUGAUGCUUCUCUACAGUGGACGAUGAAGGCAUGCUGGUUUACAAACUCAGGAGAGGAACAAAGAACAGAUAUUGACGGAUCAUAUCUAGAAAUGCGGGCCUUCUACACUUCAUACAAGCAAGUGUGCUAAUAUACAUGUAGGUACCCCAAAUAAACUAUUUUGGAACACAUAUCAUGCAGAAAGUUAUAGAUCUGACAAAUAUAUUUUUCAUUGUCCGUUGACUUGUAAAAGAAUA
This 608-nucleotide long non-coding RNA is filed under the name Strongylocentrotus purpuratus (purple sea urchin). RNAcentral's name for it is "uncharacterized LOC115920125". The record is from RNAcentral. Lineage: Eukaryota; Metazoa; Echinodermata; Echinoidea; Camarodonta; Strongylocentrotidae.